This 857-nucleotide ribosomal RNA is filed under the name uncultured Zetaproteobacteria bacterium. RNAcentral describes it as "bacterial SSU rRNA". It matches the Rfam family "Bacterial small subunit ribosomal RNA", at positions 33 to 883 of the family's 1533-position model. The record is from RNAcentral. Lineage: Bacteria; Pseudomonadati; Pseudomonadota; Candidatius Mariprofundia.
ACGCUGGCGGCAUGCCUAACACAUGCAAGUCGAACGGUAACAGGUCUUCGGAUGCUGACGAGUGGCGCACGGGUGAGUAACGCGUGGAUAUCUGCCUAUGAGUGGGGGACAACUUUCGGAAACGAAAGCUAAUACCGCAUAAUCUCUACGGAGCAAAGCAGGGGACCUUUCGGGGCCUUGGGGUUAAUAGAUGAGUCCGCGUCAGAUUAGCUAGUUGGUGGGGUAAGAGCCUACCAAGGCGAUGAUCUGUAGCUGGUUUGAGAGGAUGAUCAGUCACACUGGAACUGAGACACGGUCCAGACUCCUACGGGAGGCAGCAGUGGGGAAUUUUGCACAAUGGGGGAAACCCUGAUGCAGCGAUGCCGCGUGUGGGAAGAAGGCCUUUGGGUUGUAAACCACUUUCAAUUGGGAAGAAGGGAUGAGGAUUAAUAAUCCUCUGACUUGACGGUACCUUUAGAAGAAGCACCGGCUAAUUUCGUGCCAGCAGCCGCGGUAAUACGAAAGGUGCAAGCGUUGUUCGGAUUUACUGGGCGUAAAGAGAUCGUAGGUGGUUUGUUAAGUUGGAUGUGAAAUCCCGGGGCUCAACCUCGGAACUGCAUCCAAAACUGGCAGACUUGAGUUCGGGAGGGGUAAGCGGAAUUCCGUGUGUAGCAGUGAAAUGCGUAGAUAUACGGAGGAACACCUGAGGCGAAGGCGGCUUACUGGACCGAUACUGACACUGAGGAUCGAAAGCGUGGGUAGCAAACAGGAUUAGAUACCCUGGUAGUCCACGCCCUAAACGAUGUCAACUAGCCGUUGCGGGUAUCGACCCCUGCAGUGGCGCAGCUAACGCGAUAAGUUGACCGCCUGGGGAGUAC